GAUUCUUCGGAUGAAGAGGAUUGUGACUGGGCGGCGGACGGGUGAGUAACGCGUGGGUAACCUGCCUCAUACAGGGGGAUAACAGUUAGAAAUGACUGCUAAUACCGCAUAAGACCACAGCACCGCAUGGUGCAGGGGUAAAAACUCCGGUGGUAUGAGAUGGACCCGCGUCUGAUUAGGUAGUUGGUGGGGUAACGGCCUACCAAGCCGACGAUCAGUAGCCGACCUGAGAGGGUGACCGGCCACAUUGGGACUGAGACACGGCCCAAACUCCUACGGGAGGCAGCAGUGGGGAAUAUUGCACAAUGGGGGAAACCCUGAUGCAGCGACGCCGCGUGAGCGAUGAAGUAUUUCGGUAUGUAAAGCUCUAUCAGCAGGGAAGAAAAUGACGGUACCUGACUAAGAAGCACCGGCUAAAUACGUGCCAGCAGCCGCGGUAAUACGUAUGGUGCAAGCGUUAUCCGGAUUUACUGGGUGUAAAGGGAGCGUAGACGGAGUGGCAAGUCUGAUGUGAAAACCCGGGGCUCAACCCCGGGACUGCAUUGGAAACUGUCAAUCUGGAGUACCGGAGAGGUAAGCGGAAUUCCUAGUGUAGCGGUGAAAUGCGUAGAUAUUAGGAGGAACACCAGUGGCGAAGGCGGCUUACUGGACGGUAA
Molecule: ribosomal RNA, 656 nt
Filed under: uncultured Lachnospiraceae bacterium
Lineage: Bacteria; Bacillati; Bacillota; Clostridia; Lachnospirales; Lachnospiraceae
Description: bacterial SSU rRNA
Rfam family: Bacterial small subunit ribosomal RNA
Source: RNAcentral